CUUUGGAAUAAGAAGGUCGCACGAAGUCAUUUAUCGUACCGGAGAGGGGCUAUGUUUUGUCAGGAAGGACUGAAUUUUACUUAUUAAUCAUUUUGAGCUCCUAAAACGACCCAGAAAUACCCCAAAAUGCAUAAGAAAAAGGUAGAAUUUUUGACAUUUCUCGAAUUCAUUUUUCAUUCAAAGGAAUAACACCGAAGGGAAGAAAUUUGAUCGUUUUCAAGAAAACUCGAGCACUAAGGGGAGCAUUUAUAUCAUUUCAAACAUGUAUUGAUUCAUUAAAAGUACAAACUGUCGUAAAAGUAUGAGAUGGUAUCGAGGCAUGUAUGGGCUUUUAGGGCGACCGUUGGAUUAAAGCAAAUAGAGCGUUCGUCCCUUUAAGAAAUGCCCUUUACGUAAUUGUAUAGAAGGCCAAGAUCGAAGGCCUGAAAGUCUCCCAAAAUAAUUUCUGAAAUACGUCGUUCUCGACGAAAGGUGCAAAACUCUUUGGAAUAAGAAGGUCGCACGAAGUCAUUUAUCGUACCGGAGACGGGCUAUGUUUUGUCAGGAAGGACUGAAUUUUACUUAUUAAUCAUUUUGAGCUGCUAAAAUGACCCAGAAAUACCAGAAAAAUGCAUAAGAGAAAGGUAGAAUUUUUGACAUUUCUCAAUUUUUUUUUUUUCAUUCGAAGGAACAACACAAAACGGAAGAAAUUUGAUCGUUUUCAAGGAAAGUCGAGCUUUUAGGGGAGGAUUCAAGUCCUUUCAAACAUCAAUUGUAUCAUUAGAAGGACAAGCCGUCGUAAAAAUAUGAGAUGGUAUCGUUGGAUGUGGUGGCUUCCAGAACACCCAGCAAACUCGGAAAAAGCAAAAGUUGAUACCUUUAAGAAAUUGCCCCAAAAUAUUUUCUGAUAAAGGUCGUUUUCGACGGAAGGUGCAAAACUCUUUGGAAUAGGAAGGUCGCACGAAGUCAUUUAUCGUACCGGAGACGGGCUAUGUUUUGUCAGAAAGGACUGAAUUUUACUUAUUAAUCAUUUUGAGCUCCCAAAACGACCCAGAAAUACCCGAAAAAUGCAUAAGAAAAAGGUUGAAUUUCGACAUUUCUCAAGUUCAUGUUGAGGUUAGUUUUUUGUGCUCAUUGUAGAGAAAGAAAUUAGUCGUUUUCCGUUGAAGGAAACUUAAUUGAAUCUUAUAAUGCAUGAAUCAAUGAUCAUUUUGCUUCAUUUUAACUGCAUACAAUAGAUUUUUAGCAAUUUUCAAGCAGUUGGGCAGUGUUCGGUGAUGAUUUAUUCCACUCAUUCGAAGUCAAAGGAAAAUAUGUUUUCGAUUCAUUUAUUCAAUGGAAAUGAUAAAAUGAUUAUUGGAAUACAUUAUCCGGGCUAGAUUUUUUUUUCAUCGUAGAGGAAGGUGCAAAACUCUUUGGAAUAAGAAGGUCGCACGAAGUCAUUUAUCGUACCGGAGAGGGGCUAUGUUUUGUCAGGAAGGACUGAAUUUUAUUUAUUAAUCAUUUUGAGCUCCUAAAACGACCCAGAAAUACCCCAAAAUGCAUAAGAAAAAGGUAGAAUUUUUGACAUUUCUCGAAUUCAUUUUUCAUUCAAAGGAAUAACACCGAAGGGAAGAAAUUUGAUCGUUUUCAAGAAAACUCGAGCACUAAGGGGAGCAUUUAUAUCAUUUCAAACAUGUAUUGAUUCAUUAAAAGUACAAACUGUCGUAAAAGUAUGAGAUGGUAUCGAGGCAUGUAUGGGCUUUUAGGGCGACCGUUGGAUUAAAGCAAAUAGAGCGUUCGUCCCUUUAAGAAAUGCCCUUUACGUUAUUGUAUAGAAGGCCAAGAUCGAAGGCCUGAAAGUCUCCCAAAAUAAUUUCUGAAAUACGUCGUUCUCGACGAAAGGUGCAAAACUCUUUGGAAUAAGAAAGUCGCACGAAGUCAUUUAUCGUACCGGAGACGGGCUAUGUUUUGUCAGGAAGGACUGAAUUUCACUUAUUAAUCAUUUUGAGCUGCUAAAAUGACCCAGAAAUACCAGAAAAAUGCAUAAGAGAAAGGUAGAAUUUUUGACAUUUCUCAAGUUCAUGUUGAGGUUAGUUUUUUGUGCUCAUUGUAGAGAAGGGAAUUUGUUGGUUUCUAUUAAAGGAAACUGAAUUGAAUAUUAUAAUGCAUGAAUAAAUAAUCAUUUUGCUCCAUCUCAACUGCAUACAAUAGAUUUUUAGCAAUUUUCAAGCAGUUGGGCAGUGUCCGGUGAUGUUUUCUUUUUACUCAUUUGAGGUCAAAGGAAAAAUGUGUUUUCGAUUAAUUUAUUCAAUAGAAAUGAUAUAAUGAUUAUUGGAAUACAUUAUCCGGGUAAUUUUUUGCAUUAAAAUUUUACAUUUAUAGACUUUUAGCAAGUUAUUCCAAUUUUAAGGCUAGAUUUUUUUUUUCAUCGUAGAGGAAGGAAUGUUGUGAGUUCCUUUUCAAAAUGAACUGAAUGAAAUCUUGAAAAGCAGGGAAUCCCUUUUAUAAUGUGUCUUCUCAACUGCAUAUAACUGAUUUUUGCUAAUAUCAUCAACUAUAUUUGGUUUUUUUGUUUCAUUCCUAAUUCCAGUAUGCAGUUCAUUCAUCAUUGAUGUAAAUUUCCUGAAAUUAUUCAUGGAUUAUACUGAGUGAAUCGGAAUUUAUGAUUCGAUUAUUAUUAUUUCGAAUAAAUCUCUACAUAAUUCUCUGUACUUCAAAUAUUCUUAUAGCCACAUCCCCAUAAGAAAAUACACCUCUUUGAAAUAAGGAAGUUGCAUGAAGUAAUUUAUUGGUUCAGAGACAGCCUAUGUUUUGUCAGGAAGGUCUGAAUUUUACUUAUUAAUCAUUUUGAGCUCCUAAAAUGACCCAGAAAUACCAGAAAAAUGCAUAAGAAAAAGGUAGAAUUUUUGACAUUUUUAAAUUCAUAUUGCGGUUAGAUUUUUUAUGCUCAUUGUAGAGAAAGGAAUUCUUCGGUUUCUAUUGAAGAAAACUGAAUUGAAUAUUAUAAUGCAUGAAUCAAUAAUCAUUUUGCUUCAUUCCAACUGCAUACAAUAGAUUUUUAGCAAUUUUCAAGCAGUUGGGCAGUGUCCGGUGAUGUUUUCUUUUUACUCAUUCGAGGUCCAAGGAAAAAUAUGUUUUCGAUUAAUUUAUUCAAUGGAAAUAAUAUAAUGAUUAUUGGAAUACAUUAUCCAGGUGAGUUUUUGCAUUAGAAUUCUUUAUUUAUAGACUUUUGGCAAGUUAUUCCCAUUUUUGUUUUCAUCGUAGAAAAGGAAGAAGUUUCUUUUCAAAAUAAAAUUAACUGAAUGAAAUCUUGAAAAGCAGCGAAUCUCUUUUAAAAUGCUUCCUUCUAACUGCAUAUAACUGAUUUUUGCUAAUAUCAUCAACUAUUUUGGGAUUUUUUGUUUCAUUCCCAAUUCCAGUAUGCAGUUUAUUCAUCAUCGAUAUAAUUUUCCUGAAACAAUUCAUGAAUUAUACUGGGUAAAUCAGAUAAUUAUUUGAUUAUUAUUAUAUAUUUCGAACAAAUCUUUACAUAAUUUCCCGUAUUUCAAGUAUUAUUCUUAUAGUCACAACCCCAAUAGAAAAUACACAUUUACUCAAGAUAACAAAAGUAAGAGUCGGAAAAUGUGAGAUUUCGAAGAUUAGGUGAAAGUAUCACAUUAGGAUUUUGUUUCAUUGAGAAACGGAAUAGCAUUUCUCAAUUUUCUCAUUCAUUUUCAUCAAUAUAACCUAUGAAGAUAACAACAUGAUAGGUUAGGUUGGAAAAUUUUGACCACAGAGCACUUUUAUAAGUUUUGAUUAUCUAUCAUAGAAAAACAAAAACAUAGAACAAUAUUUGGCCUCGCUAUUUUUGAAUUUAAUAUUUUUAUGAAAAUUUUUUAAGCGAAUCUGUUUAAAUAGGUGUAUCCUACCCAAGGGUUAUACUUUGGGCUUACUAGCCCAUAUCCCAUUUUCACAAAUCUUCGUUUUCGUAGAAGGAAAACCACAGAGACUUUACCACUGAGAGUUGUCAUGUAUAAUUCUAGCAAUUUUCAUUCAAAACCUUAGAGAAAUGAAUGAAAAGAGGUGAAAAUCCCUCGAAUCACGUAUUUAUAGCAUCAAAUAUGAUGAAUCGGUCUUUCAAGACAAUAAUUCCUAUCCAAAUAUGUAUGGAUAUAAAAAGGUCAAUUCUACCGUUUACAGAGAAAGAUGCAAGUGCUUACUUAUUCAAGGUGGAAAAAGAAAAGCUUGAUUCUAUUUGCUGUUCCUAAAUUAAAAUUUGUCAGCAAAUGUUAUCCUUUUUAUCAAGGUUAUAUUCUGCAGGAAGAACCAGGUAUCGUUGGAUGUGGUGGCUUCUAGAACUCCCAGCAAAUUCGUCAAGAUCGAAGCCCUGGAAGUGUCCCAAAAUAUUUUCUGAUAAAGGUCGUUUCCGACGAAAGAUGCAAAACUCUUUGGAAUAAGGAGGACGCACGAAAUCAUUUAUCGUACCGGAGACGAGCUAUGUUUUGUCAAGAAGGACUGAAUUUUACUUAUAUAUCAUUUUGAGCCCCCAAAACGACCCAAAAGUAUCCGAAAAAUACAUAAGAAAAAGGUAGAAUUUUGACAUUUCUCGAGUUCAUGUUGAGGUUAGUUUUUUAUGCUCAUUGUAGAGAAAGGAAUUUGUCGGUUUCUAUUGAAGGAAACUGAAUUGCAUCUUAUAAUGCAUGAAUCAAUAAUCAUUUUGCUUCAUUCCAACUGCAUACGAUAGAUUUUUAGCAAUUUUCAAGCAAUUGGGUAGUGUCUGGUGAUGUUUUCUUUUUACUCAUUCGAGGUCCAAGGAAAAAUAUGUUUUCGAUUAAUUUAUUCAAUGGAAAUAAUAUAAUGAUUAUUGGAAUACAUUAUCCGGGUGAGUUUUUGCAUUAGAAUUCUCUAUUUAUAGACUUUUGGCAAGUAAUUCUGAUUUUUGGUUUCAUCGUAGCAGAAGGAAUUUUGUGAGUUUCUUUUCAAAAUGAACUGAAUGAAAUCUUGAAAAGCAUGGAAUCUCUUUUGUAAGGUUUUUUCCAACUGCAUAUAACUGAUUUCUGCUGAUAUUCAAACUUUAUAUGAAGAUAAUUGUAUUGACAAUGUCUGUUGAAAUUGUUACACUGAAAUACGGAAUUCUUACUGCCUUUGAAAAUUCAUGGUUUGUUUUAAUUGAAGAAUUAUUCUUAUCCAUCCGUUGCAUUACUGUUAUAUUGAAAGUUGAAAUAUUCAAUAAAUAGAAUGAAACAAAUGAUAAUGA
Molecule: long non-coding RNA, 5197 nt
Organism: Coccinella septempunctata (seven-spotted ladybird)
Lineage: Eukaryota; Metazoa; Arthropoda; Insecta; Coleoptera; Coccinellidae
Exons: 6
Source: RefSeq, a predicted model, not a curated record